This 462-nucleotide ribosomal RNA is filed under the name uncultured bacterium. RNAcentral describes it as "partial 16S ribosomal RNA". It matches the Rfam family "Bacterial small subunit ribosomal RNA", at positions 28 to 507 of the family's 1533-position model. The record is from RNAcentral.
GACGAACGCUGGCGGCGUGCUUAACACAUGCAAGUCGAACGGUGAAGCCCUUCGGGGUGGAUCAGUGGCGAACGGGUGAGUAACACGUGAGCAACCUGCCCCUGGCUCUGGGACAACCACUGGAAACGGUGGCUAAUACCGGAUACGACCCGCCUCGGCAUCGAGUGUGGGUGGAAAGUUUUUCGGCUGGGUAUGGGCUCGCGGCCUAUCAGCUUGUUGGUGAGGUGAAGGCUCACCAAGGCGACGACGGGUAGCCGGCCUGAGAGGGCGACCGGCCACACUGGGACUGAGACACGGCCCAGACUCCUACGGGAGGCAGCAGUGGGGAAUAUUGCACAAUGGGCGAAAGCCUGAUGCAGCGACGCCGCGUGAGGGAUGACGGCCUUCGGGUUGUAAACCUCUUUCAGCUCCGAAGAAGCGAAAGUGACGGUAGGAGCAGAAGAAGCACCGGCUAACUACGUG